This 156-nucleotide ribosomal RNA is filed under the name uncultured eukaryote. RNAcentral describes it as "partial small subunit ribosomal RNA". The record is from RNAcentral.
AUUACGUAAGAUCUCAACUUUGCCAGAAGCGACCAUAGCCCGAACGGCUUGAAUGGUAGUAGCCCGAUCCACCUUACACGAACUGGUAAAAAGACCGGGAACAUUGGCAGCAUUUGUUGCGAACAAAAACCAAGUAACGAAAGUAUCGAUACGGUC